This 406-nucleotide unclassified non-coding RNA is filed under the name soil metagenome. RNAcentral's name for it is "partial contains 5.8S ribosomal RNA, internal transcribed spacer 2, and large subunit ribosomal RNA". The stretch from base 1 to 121 matches the Rfam family "5.8S ribosomal RNA", at positions 35 to 154 of the family's 154-position model. The record is from RNAcentral.
GAUGAAGAACGUAGCGAAAUGCGAUAAGUAAUGUGAAUUGCAGAAUUCAGUGAAUCAUCGAAUCUUUGAACGCACCUUGCGCCCUUUGGCCAUUCCGAAGGGCAUGCCUGUUUGAGUAUCAUGAACACCUCAACUCUUCAUGGUUUUCCGUGAUGAGCUUGGACUUUGGGGGUCUUGCUGGCCUAUGGUCAGCUCCUCUAAAAUAAAUCAGCUUGCCAGUGUUUGGUGGGUAUCACAGGUGUGAUAACUAUCUACGCUUGUGGUUUUCCACCAGGUAACCUUCAGCAGUGGAGGUUCGCUGGAGCUCACAGUUGUGUCUCUCCUCAGUGAGGACAGCUCUUUGAAUGUUUGAUCUCAAAUCAGGUAGGACUACCCGCUGAACUUAAGCAUAUCAAUAAGCGGAGGA